This 1301-nucleotide long non-coding RNA is filed under the name Felis catus (domestic cat). Its description in RNAcentral is "lncRNA (ENSFCAG00000050048.1)". Lineage: Eukaryota; Metazoa; Chordata; Mammalia; Carnivora; Felidae. The record is from RNAcentral.
GAUAGGCCAUGUAGGAAGUUUCCAUUUUCUCAGGCAGGAGAUAGGAACCACUGUAGAAUGUUGAGCUUGAAAAUGAUCCAAGGAGAUCUUUGUGAUGGAACUAUCAUUCUGAGAGCUGAAUGGAGGGUGAAUUGCAAGUAGGUGAGAUUAAAGACACAAAGUCAAGGGAGUGGUGGUGAUAAUCUGCAAAAGAGAAGACAAAGGCCAGAACCAAGACAACACCAAUUGCAGAGGGAAGAGAGCAAGAAUGCUAAAAGACUUGGCAUGUAAAAGGGCAGCAUCUGGUUGGUGAUGGAGCAAAUGUGGGGAUUCCAAAGAGGACCCAUAAUAAGAUUACAAAGUGGAGCCACCAUGUCAGAGUGUUGGUUAAGAUCACCUGGACCUGGCAACCUCUUGGAGAAGAAAUUCAGGAGGGGGAAGUGAGUCUCAGACUUUCUCUACUUCACAAGAGAUAAUUUCUUAAAUUCUUUCCUGGUUUCAUGCUAUCAGGAUUCAGUACCUAUACUUGCCAAAACCCAGAUGGACAUACUUACCUAUUCAUUUAUUAUCUGUGCUAACAAGGAACACAGGAUUUUUGUUGUUGUUGUCAAUAUUUCCACAUUCUACAAAUCAACUGGUUGGAUUGGAAUUCUUUUACCUGUAGUUGUCCUCCAAUUACAGGAGACUGCUAAGAGACAGAAAUGGCUAUAUAACUAAUUUGGGAAAAAUUCAAACUAUAACCUUCAAUGCACAGCUCAGAAUCUGUACUAAAUGUGAAUACCAGAAUCACCUUUCAUCCAGAAAGAUGGUGUCCUUGAACCUAACCAGGAGAUAAUGAGCUUUCUUUUCCUCACAUUUGUAAUCCCUCACCCAAAGCUUCAUUAGAAUACAACCAUCCCAUAAUACAGUUGUAGUCAUUUAUUUUGCUAUUUAUGCAAGUUUUCAUUUCCCUCUGUGGCCGUGAAAACAAUUACAGAAACUUGUAAAUUUUGUAAUCCAUAUCUAUGAAGAAACAAGUAAAUUAUGAUGAUCUAAAACAGAGUGGCAGCCAAAGGGCUUUAGUCUGAAAAGAUCAGAUUUUCUAAGUAACUGAUAUGUCAGAACCAUCCCCAGUGAGGAUAUGACCAGAAUUUUUAUCCAUCACUCAUUAAAUUAUGACACUGUGUGACUUUAUAAGCCCUGACUGAUACAGCAUCCUGAUUAAAGGGUUUAUUAACAAAUGAUUGGAAAUAUAGGUAUUCUGUUUGUACUUCACACACUUUUGUAUUAUUCAGAUGUUUUUUGGCAAUAAAAAUGUAUCAACUCAUUUUGAUUGGAAUUCC